GUGAUUGUAGCUCAAUUGGUAGAGCCCUGGAUUGUGAUUCCAGUUGUCGUGGGUUCAAAUCCCACCAAUCACCCA
This 75-nucleotide transfer RNA is filed under the name Candidatus Westeberhardia cardiocondylae. RNAcentral's name for it is "transfer RNA Histidine". It matches the Rfam family "tRNA". From Rfam's summary of the family: Transfer RNA (tRNA) molecules are approximately 80 nucleotides in length. Their secondary structure includes four short double-helical elements and three loops (D, anti-codon, and T loops). Further hydrogen bonds mediate the characteristic L-shaped molecular structure. tRNAs have two regions of fundamental functional importance: the anti-codon, which is responsible for specific mRNA codon recognition, and the 3' end, to which the tRNAs corresponding amino acid is attached (by aminoacyl-tRNA synthetases). tRNAs cope with the degeneracy of the genetic code in two manners: having more than one tRNA (with a specific anti-codon) for a particular amino acid; and 'wobble' base-pairing, i.e. permitting non-standard base-pairing at the 3rd anti-codon position. Lineage: Bacteria; Pseudomonadati; Pseudomonadota; Gammaproteobacteria; Enterobacterales; Enterobacteriaceae. The record is from RNAcentral.